RNAcentral lists this transfer RNA (72 nucleotides) under Camelus bactrianus (Bactrian camel). It matches the Rfam family "tRNA". From Rfam's summary of the family: Transfer RNA (tRNA) molecules are approximately 80 nucleotides in length. Their secondary structure includes four short double-helical elements and three loops (D, anti-codon, and T loops). The record is from Rfam by way of RNAcentral. Lineage: Eukaryota; Metazoa; Chordata; Mammalia; Artiodactyla; Camelidae. RNAcentral also lists the same sequence under 2 other names.
GAGGGUGUAGCUCAGUGGUAGAGCACAUGCUUAGCGUGCAUAAGGUCCUGUGUUCAAUGCCCAGCGCCUCCA